Molecule: long non-coding RNA, 815 nt
Filed under: Felis catus (domestic cat)
Lineage: Eukaryota; Metazoa; Chordata; Mammalia; Carnivora; Felidae
Description: lncRNA (ENSFCAG00000043125.2)
Source: RNAcentral
AUUCACCUUAAGAUCGUGCCAACAAGGGCCUAUCACAAAUUGGAGAUAAGGAUGGAGAAGAGAAACCUCUCUUAAUCAGAAUUACUCCUGGCAUGGAGGAGGAGCGGCUGGGAGUUGUAGCCGGAAGCCAGAGCACAUGUGUUGCAGCUGAAUCAAUCAGGAAGUGAUCGCGAUCGAUGCAUCAAAGGAUAUCCCUUUAUUGCCUGAAGUGGUAUUAUGACCACAAAGAACAACAGAAGAUUGUGCAUUGCAGACCAUAGAGAAGGCCACAGGCCCUGAUUCUUCCUCUUCCUCCUUCUUACAUUGGCCAUUUCAUCAUGGUGUUCUGCUGUGACUUCGCUGAGCCUGUCUUCAGAGAAGACUCUCGCACUCCUCUAGGAACACUUCCCAAAAUGCCCAAAACAGACCAUCUGACAGUGAUUCACUGGGGCUUCCUGCAAGAUUCAGGCAUGCCUCAGAGCUGUGUGCAAUGCUACGGAUUCCUGGGAUGUUUUGAGAAGGCUGGAUCACACUUGCAGGCGUUGAGUUAUCCGGUCACAUCGGGAUAUAACAUCAGUUCACACAGACAGAGACUGGAUCUUCUUCAAAGAUGUCCAUCCUCAAGGUUCUUCUGUACAAGCAAGGCUAGUCAUUCUUCCCUGUCUUUAGUCCCAUCAUAUUCAACCUGUCUUUGUCUUCUUUCCAAGAGCCUGCUUCAAAACUGGGAGCAAGACUUUGAUGGCCUAUGUAAGUGCAUGUGUCCUGUGCUCAAAUUCUGCUUCUCCAUUACUUUCAUUUCUUCCUCUUUUAGACCCUCGUGUGACAAGCGAAGUUAA